RNAcentral lists this ribosomal RNA (279 nucleotides) under uncultured Glomus. RNAcentral's name for it is "partial 18S small subunit ribosomal RNA". It matches the Rfam family "Eukaryotic small subunit ribosomal RNA", at positions 591 to 874 of the family's 1831-position model. Lineage: Eukaryota; Fungi; Glomeromycota; Glomeromycetes; Glomerales; Glomeraceae. The record is from RNAcentral.
CCAAUAGCGUAUAUUAAAGUUGUUGCAGUUAAAAAGCUCGUAGUUGAAUUUCGGGGUUAGCAGGUCGGUCGUGCCAUUGGUAUGAACUGGUCUCGCUGAUCCCUCCCUCUUGACGAACUGUGAUGCCAUUAAUUUGGUGUCGCAGGGAAUCAGGACUGUUACUUUGAAAAAAUUAGAGUGUUUAAAGCAGGCUUUAGCUUGAAUACAUUAGCAUGGAAUAAUGAAAUGGGACGUUUGAUCCUAUUUUGUUGGUUUCUAGGAUUGACGUAAUGGUUAAUA